GAAACCACGGUCCUGAUACACAACAGUACGAGGCAAGGCAUCAUUCACGAUUAUUUAACAUUUAAUUACUUCCCGACACUCGCCAGAAAGACACACUUUGGGGUCGUUAUUGCAACUCUGCCGGAAUAAAACGUUCAGAGACAGUAGUUGGGACUCAGAAAAGAUUCUCCGAUAUAUCUCCUCAAUGGCCAACUGCGUGGUCAACUCGUGUAUGUCUGCAAAUCGAGAAAGCGAAUUAUUUUGAAUGGGCAAUCUUUCACAACAGUUAUAUAACAGUACUAGUCGAGGCAUCAAUACUUAAAGCAACUCUUCCAGAAGACUGACUUUCAAUUAAUGGAGUUGGAUUCGGGUUAGAUUGCACUUCUAGUUUUACAAUAUUUGGAAAAUUCCAUCUUCCGCAGCCCACUCGAUCUCUGCACUGCCUCCGACACGUCCUAAACGAAUGAUUAAUUAUUUUGGAGACAUAUUUUGGAUAUCAUACAGCAGCAAAUCAGAUCACUAUGUCAGCGGCCACGUACGUGCAAGGUUUCCAUGACGACGAGAGAACAAAUAAGAUGUGUUACCAUGAUCUUGGGGCCACUGGUAUGAAGGUGUCUGUCAUAGGGUUCGGUGCAGCACCCCUUGGGAAGGUCUAUGAUGCGGAUCUCUCUGAUGAACAGGGCGUGGCCGCUCUUCGACAUGCUCUACGCGGUGGGAUUAACUAUAUCGACACGGCCCCAUAUUAUGGACAAGGGAAAUCGGAAGCCGUCUUAGGAAAUGCUCUUAAACAUAUUCCUCGGGAAGCUUACUACAUCGCAACUAAAGUAGGGAGAUAUGAAACAGCUGAUAACCUGGAAGGAAUGUUUGACUUUUCUGCAGAACGAGUCACUCGGGGCGUUGAUGAAAGCCUCAAACUACUGGGAAUUGAGUAUGUCGACCUUAUUCAGGUCCAUGACGUGGAGUUUGCUUCAAGCGUAGAUCUUAUCAUAGACGAGACUCUUCCUGCAUUGGAGAAGAUCAAAAAACAGGGCAAGGCUAAGUUCAUUGGUAUAACAGGAUACCCGAUACAAGUUCUAAGAACCAUUGUUGAGCGAAGCAAGGUGAAGAUCGAUUCAGUAUUGAGCUAUUGUCAUUUAAGCCUUAAUGACUCUUCACUUCUUCAACACGCAGCAUUCUUCCAAGAACGAAACGUUGCUCUCAUUUCUGCGUCACCCCUCUCCAUGGCGUUACUCACCGAUAGAGGGCCUCCUUCUUGGCAUAUCGCUAGUGAUGAAAUCAAGAAAGCCUGCCGAGAGGCCAGUGUAUACUGCAGACAGCAUGGCCAUGAUAUAUCAGCAAUCGCCCUAAAAUACAGUAUUUCACAUACGAAGGAUGUUCCAUUGACACUAAUAGGGAUGGAUAGGUACACUCAUUCAAUUAACGAGUAUAGAACAAGUUGACAAGAAUGCGAAAGCUGUGGAAGAGGGCUCUUCUGAAGAACAAGUGCAAUUCACAGCAACCCUGAUUAACAGGUAUUUCUCAUCCAUAGAAGAACCGGGAUGGGAAGGAAUAGAAGUCAAACAAUACCGCGAAGCGCUUUCUAGACUAAAUGAAGCGAAGAAA
Molecule: unclassified non-coding RNA, 1581 nt
Filed under: Lytechinus variegatus (green sea urchin)
Lineage: Eukaryota; Metazoa; Echinodermata; Echinoidea; Temnopleuroida; Toxopneustidae
Description: l-galactose dehydrogenase-like, transcript variant X1
Source: RNAcentral